RNAcentral lists this unclassified non-coding RNA (214 nucleotides) under Phaeosphaeria podocarpi. RNAcentral describes it as "partial internal transcribed spacer region". The stretch from base 1 to 46 matches the Rfam family "Eukaryotic small subunit ribosomal RNA", at positions 1786 to 1831 of the family's 1831-position model. Lineage: Eukaryota; Fungi; Ascomycota; Dothideomycetes; Pleosporales; Phaeosphaeriaceae. The record is from RNAcentral.
AAGUCGUAACAAGGUUUCUGUAGGUGAACCUGCGGAAGGAUUAUUAUAUUUAGUAGCCUAGCUACUUGUUUACACCCUUGUUUUUGCGUACUUAUUAUUUCCUUGGUGGGCUUGCUCGCUGGUUGGACAAAACUAUAACUUUUUUUAAAUCUUCAAUUAGCGUCUGAAUUAUACAUAAUAAUUACAACUUUUAAUAAUGGAUCUCUUGGUUCUG